CCUACGGGCGGCAGCAGUGAGGAAUAUUGGUCAAUGGACGAGAGUCUGAACCAGCCAAGUAGCGUGAAGGAUGACUGCCCUAUGGGUUGUAAACUUCUUUUAUAUGGGAAUAAAAUGUUCCACGUGUGGGAUUUUGUAUGUACCAUAUGAAUAAGGAUCGGCUAACUCCGUGCCAGCAGCCGCGGUAAUACGGAGGAUCCGAGGGUUAUCCGGAUUUAUUGGGUUUAAAGGGAGCGUAGGUGUAUUGUUAAGUCAGGUGUGAAAGUUUGCGGCUCAAACGUAAAAUUGCAGUUGAAACUGGCAGUCUGGAGUACAGUAGAGGUGGGCGGAAUUCGUGGUGUAGCGGUGAAAUGCUUAGAUAUCACGAAGAACUCCGAUUGCGAAGGCAGCUCACUGGACUGCAACUGACACUGAGGCUCGAAAGUGUGGGUAUCAAACAGGAUUAGAUACCCUUGUAGUC
RNAcentral lists this ribosomal RNA (460 nucleotides) under uncultured bacterium. Its description in RNAcentral is "partial 16S ribosomal RNA". It matches the Rfam family "Bacterial small subunit ribosomal RNA", at positions 338 to 795 of the family's 1533-position model. The record is from RNAcentral.